CUUCAGUGCUGGGGAUGGAACCUAGGGCCUCACACAUGCCAGGCAAGCACUCAGUCACUGAGCCACAUCCCCAUCCCUGGCAGAUAUGUUUUCAUAAGAUGAUUUACCAUGACUUAAAUUACUUUCUUUACGCUUCCCAGUUGGGUAAACAACUCAGAUGUAAUGAGCUUUUGUGUCACAGUCCUCUUUCUGUACUCUGCAACUUUGGUUCCCAUAAGUAUCAAUAUUUUUGAUGUUGCAUGCUCUUACAAUUAUGUUUUCUAAAAUAUUGUAUUGACUUUAGUUUAGUAAACUAUUUUGGCAAUUUAACCAGAAAUAGGGUAUAUAUAAACUCAAUUUUAUCUGCAUUAAAAAAUUGAAAUAAUCUAAUCGCAUGUAUGAUGUACCUCUGCCCCAUAACUCAGUUGCACAAAUAUAAUUAUCUAUGGGAGAGUGAAACUGUUGAUUCAUUAUUUAAAAUAAUAGAUUAGCAAAGAUUCGUUCUGAUUAGAGAUAUGGUCUAUAGCUAAAGAUACUUUUAUUUUAAAAAAUAACAGCACUUAUGAACACCAUUUGUAUCAUUGGAUAUGAAGAAUUUAUUAGUAUUUAAUAACAAUAUUAGUAUUGAAGUCUUCAGAUCACAAAUGAAGUAGUUGCAAAGUAGACCUGGUCUUUGACCACUUACGGUGUAACUGUUGUAUUUAAAACUGAUUUAGGCAGUUUUAUGUAUCAUGUACCAAUGGUAUGUAAAAUAAAGCACCU
This 741-nucleotide long non-coding RNA is filed under the name Marmota monax (woodchuck). Lineage: Eukaryota; Metazoa; Chordata; Mammalia; Rodentia; Sciuridae. The record is from RNAcentral.